Molecule: long non-coding RNA, 5848 nt
Filed under: Taeniopygia guttata (zebra finch)
Lineage: Eukaryota; Metazoa; Chordata; Aves; Passeriformes; Estrildidae
Description: lncRNA (ENSTGUG00000027569.1)
Source: RNAcentral
CUUUUUUUUUUUUUUUUUUUUUUUUUUUUUUCUUCCUUAAAUGAAAGAGGAUAAUUUUAGAUUAGCAGUGAAUCUGAACAGAGAGAAGAGGAAAAUGAUGGAGAACACCUGGAGUUAUAAACUGGAUUUACUUGUCAGUUAGUGCCACUUAGUAGCUACUACGUAUCUUGGAAUCCAGUUGAAUUAUGCCAAUAAUAAUAACAACAGCAACAAUAAUAACAAUACUCUGGAUGUGUAUAAUGACUUUGACUCCUCAGGACUUGGAUAUGUUUUAGGGGUCAUUUUUUGAGGCACUCAUCAGAGUGGGUUCUAUUCCUGAAGAGAGCCUUUGGGUGCCUUGGUAGUAAGAAUUCUAUCUAAAAUAAGAAAAUGAUUUUUUUCUUCACUCAUCCUCCUGUGGUCUUGUAGGGGAGAGCAGUUCUACUUGCAGCUCGGGCUGCUUUCAGGUGUAAGUGUUCUCAGGAAAUACGCUAAUCCAGCAGAUCCAUUUCAUGCUGAAAUGCUGAAUUCUCUUCAGAGCAGUCCUGUCAGCUGGCCUGGGUGAAUAGGUCACCAGUUUUAAUUGUGAUGAAUCUCCCAUCUCUUCCCUGAACCAGCAAAUCUUCCAGGCUUGGUAUCCAAAUGCAGAUAAUAAUUGGAAAUACAGUCACAACUGUAAAUCAGACAGAGUUAAAAUAUUUCUCACUGACAUUAACUACAGAGGUAAAAUCAAGGUCCAAAUUACACUAAAUCAAGUAAUUUACUUCAGUUACAUCUUGGGAAAUCAAUAUCAUCAUCAUUUUCUAUAACUGUUCUGAAACUCUUUCAAACUGAGUAGGUGCAAAGAGUUACUUCCCUUAAGUGAGGUCACCCAAGUCCCAGAUACAGCUCCAUCACUUUGUCUUGCUCUCAGAUGCUUUGAAGAACAAACAGAGUGUUUGGAACAAACUAGGCUGCCAUCUGUAGGAAGUGUUUCCAGGCUCUUUUCCAGAAAGGGUGAUGUUCUCUUCCACAGCCUCUUCCUUAUGUUAGCCUGGGAGGAUCUGAUUAAAGAAAUGUAUUUUGAAUGGGAGAUAAGGGACAACAUUUGCCCUCAUCUUCUCUUACUGUUAACCUUUGUCAUUUAAGGAUUUUAAGCAGCUGAACUCCAGAUUCUUUGCCUUUUCCCUUGCUACUUUUAGGAUUGUGGAUUAUAAUUCAUCUGAGUCUAUUGCUUUCUCAACUUUUAAUCAUUCUAAUUACCUAAUUAUCUACUGUAAUGAAAUGAUAAAGCCCUUAACAGUUUAGUCUUCCUUCUCCCUAUAGGAAAUUCUGUCUCCUCCUCUGGGAUAUUACCUUCUUUGUUUAAAAGACAGAGAAAUUAUUUGAGGGCUGGGCAUAAAUGCUAGUUUUGCUUGCUUAAACACUUUCCUUCAUCACUGAUUCCUUUUUAUAAUUGUAGUUACUCUUUAGUCUUUGUUUACAGAUCAACGAUUUUGUUAAAUUUCCUUAAUAAUAAAGGGCAGCAGGGAGAGAGAAAACAGACAUUGCAUAAAAUCUAGAAACUCUUUCCAAAUCAGAGGAAAAAAAUGAAGAUUUUACCAACACCAAAGGUGACUGUUUAUAGCAAUGAACUUCAAAUUCACACUGUAUUUUUACUCAGUGAAGCAUACUUUUUCUCUGCAAGAUUACUUUAUAAUGAGAAGUAUGGAAUGAGGCAUCAAUAUAUGAAAUUAUAUUUUGGGCCAAGGAAAGAAAUGAAUUUGGAUUUCUCCACUGUCAAUAAAUAUUCCAAUUUUGCAUCUGUUUUAUAUUAUAGCUUUUUUAUAUUUGUCCUUUAGCUUUGCCUCAAAAAAAGAGGAGUAUUUUUGAAAAAAUACCGUAGGUACUUGAGAAUACAGUUUGGAGAAGAUCUUACAGAAGAGAAUCUGUAUGGGCUGAGAUAGCUGACUGCAGUUAUGGGGGAGGUAUUGGAUCUGCAGUCAGUUCCUGUUUUGUAUCCUGGCUGGCUGCCUCAGAGGAGUUGCUCACUGAAUAUGCUACAUGGUAUGUUUCCUGACCAGUACAUCGCCUAGUCUGUCCAAGUGCCAUGUCCGGUCUUCUUCCCUAUUUAAUGUUUUUUGCAUGUCCUUUCUCUUGUCCCCAGCAGAAGAGGGUCCAUGUGAUACUGUUCUGCUUCAGGGUCAGUCUCUAUAGCUAGCACAAGUUUUUUUCCCAGCUUUCUUUCUGGAACACAUUGAACACAUGAAGCUUGAACUCAUUGAACACAUGAAGCCAGAGAAAGUACCUGACUUCUACAUUAGCGAAUAGCCAAAGAGAUAAGCAUUUACUUUCUGAAAGGAAGACUAGAAGCAGUAAGGGGCAUGUGAUAUGAUUCAAUUUCUCCCUCACUCAAAAAGUGAGUCAGUAAAAAAUAAUCCGCCCAAAGCGGUAUUUGAACAGAGAAUAAAAGUGUUAGAAAAUUCAGAGAGAAAGAUCUGUGAGGAGGAGGAUAGACAAGGAAAAGAAGGAAAUGAGAGGACAAAGCACUUAAAAUGUGAGGAGGAAUUAGCUUAGGAGAAGUAUAGGAAAAAAGUCCUACUAUGCAUGAAAGAUAUGGAAGAACCAAAAAGAAUGGAGUUCUGCCUGUUAGAAAAGGAGGGUCAGGACAUGAGAGAAAGUAUUCAAAAGAGCAUGAAGAGGGCUAAGAAGAAAGAAGUAGAGAGAGGAGGUUGGAAAAAGUGGGAGCUGACAAAACUUUUAGGCAUACACACAGAGCUGUUAUACACUUGACUAUUUCUUUAGGCAGAAUGAUACAAGCAUAAUUCAUGCCUGUUAUAAGAAAAUUUAAUUUAAGUCCAAUCCUUUCUGUUACCCUGGAUUUGAAUUCUACACCUCUGCAGGCUUACAGGGAGGUGGAGACAUCCUAUUCAUACAGCAUUCUCACACACAUUAAUUCCCAGAGCAUGGGACUUCAUGUCACUUUUCUAUCCUUAGAAUCUAAAGUUUUGUAAUUUUUGAAAUAUGUUUCCUUAAGUCCACCCUGCUUGUCUGCUAUUACAAAUACUUUUUCUUGUUUAAGGCAGUCAAGGUUCUAAUUUUCUCUUCUAGCAAGUAUGUUUGGCUGUGGAAGGCUUCCCAACAUGUCUCCAUCCAUACAGGAAUUAUUCCUUUUCCUGGAGUGUUUAAUCAGCGCACUCACAUGAAGAGCAGCCCUCUGACCUGUACAAACCUCUGUCCCUGGCUCAGAACCACAGUGACCUCACAGGUUUCCACCUCAUGUAUCCACCCUUCCUUAAGGAGUAACUUUUCAGCUGUAAUUUAUUAUGUCUACGAACAAGUCCUGGUAAACUCAUCUUCUUUUGCUUUAAAAGCUGCUUAUAAGGGAACCUGAUUUACUUGCUCCUAAAUUCAGCUGAAUGGCAUAGAACAUUUUAGAGGGAUUGCCACAUAGCUAUUUUGAACACAUUUAUUUCUGUUUCCUGUAGUUACUGAUAUGAAUCUACAGGAAUUCAUAUCCUGUAUGUUCCAGACCUUUAAAUUCUAUAAACUGACAUACUUUCUUUGAAAUAUUUUAUUGCAUGGAAUUCUGAUUUCUAUGAUUUAAGGAUUGAGCCUUAUUGUCAGUAUAUCACUAAAAAACCCCACAAAUUCUCAGAAAUAAGAGAUGGUCAUAGCAGGUCUCCUUCCACAUUAAAGUUUUAAUUCUUUAUUAAAAUGGAAAUGCACAGUAAAUCAGGUGAAAAUAAUUAUUUUGAUUUUUAAAUCUUUUGCGGGAUGUUUUCAGGCAUAUGUAGUGACAUUUAUGUAGAUUCACCUGUCUUCAUUGAAUCUCUGAAAAAAAGAUUUCCUUGAACCUACUGUGAUCUCUUAUAUGUCAUUAUUAGAAAAGAUGUGGUAAGGAGCUCAGGCCCACAGAAAACAAUGACAACUGAAGAAAAUCUAAGCUUCAGAUAUUUCAGAUUUGGUUGAAAUAAUAUUUUAGAAAUCAGUAUUUUAGGUACCUUCUGAAUUUAAAUAUGAAACUCCACUUAAAUAAAGUGGACUUUUCUAAGACUUUUCAACAAGUCUUAGAAAAAAAUUCCUAUACACUCUGUUUUGAGUUGAGAAUGGUCCCAACAAGACAUAUCCCCUUGAAUAAAAGCAAUGAGGUCCCAUACACAUACCUCAGAAUUUUUAUAAAUAACAACAACAAUAAUAAUAGUAGUAGUAGCAGUUAUGUUCCAGAAGAAAAAAGAAUGUUUAAUAUAGACAAUACACUCAAAAAUGUUGCUCUGUUAUACAGAGAAAUUUAUGCCCAAGAGGUGAAAUUUUGUUUGCCAGAAUAAGGAAGCAUCUCCCCUAUUUCUCUCUCUGUGCCAACAGCAAGUAUUUAGACUAUUAGGAUUUUGUUUUUUCUUGACUGAGCUUCAUUCAAGUUAAGGAAUGGAAAUUGAAUAUAUAUAUAUAUAUAUAUAUAUAUGAACAGAUUUCAGCUUUAGUACCAGCUCAAAUUCUACAGCUAAAUCCUGGGACAUUCAUUACCCAGUGCUGAAAUUAUAUAUUUUAUAUUAUAUAUAUAUUGCUAUAUAUUGUUAUAUAAAGGUUAUUCAGUAACAGAACUUGAAUUAAAUGUAACUAUAAACUCUAUGAUAUGUAGGAAGUAAUGUACCUGACAUUUGAUUUUUUAAAAUUUGUAUUCGUGUUUAAUUCUGCCCAGUGUGUUGCCCUGCUGUUCUCAAAGUUGUCUCAUAGGUUUGAACUGACUUACACAGGACUGUGUGAAAAGUGUGGCUAUAAAGACAAAUGAAAGACACAGCAUUUUAUUGUUAUUAUCGAAAGAAACAUGAGCUCAGCGCUCUUGAGAUGCUGACUGUAAAGACAGUUUCUCAUUUUCCUUUUUGAUUGCCCUGGUUCCAUGGAACCUACACUCAAAAGCAAAGGCAAAGUAGAGUGAAGCUUUAUAUGUGUGCAGUGGAGAUGUAUGAGGAGGGUCUGAGGGUCACUAGAUGUUCAUGCCAAGUACUACUUUUGAACCUUUGGAUUCACCCAGACAUCUGCAAAGGCUGAAAAAUAUAUUCCUUUCCAGAACAGCAACUGUAAACCAGGCAUCGUGUCCUAAAAUUAAAUCAGAUUACUAUAUUUAGGCAAUAUAUCCUAGAAAUCUUGCCCCUCAGUUACUCCAUGGAGGGACCCAGGAUAUUUGCAUUAUUUGCAGUAGGGGUAAUACAACAAAUAACAUUCCUAUUUGUUGGCACUGCCUGCAUUAUUAAACCUUGCAACUUAAUGAGCCUUUGUUUAGUUUUGCUGGCCAUUUUUUUCCAGAGUCUGAGACAGCUAAACACCCAAAUCCAAAUGAAGCUAAAAGGGAAGGAAAAAUUUAGACAAAAUGGUGUCCAGAAUAGAUAAAACAUUUAAUAGCCUAAAGUGGGAUCUAGACAGCAUUUAAGUAUCUAUAUGUAUCCUAAAAUGCUAAAUCAGCCAAAGGAAAGAAAAGAAAAGAUAGUAACACUGUACCUUAGGUUGUGUUUUUGCAUUUGGGGAGUCCUAGAUACAUAUUUUGCUUUAUAGAAUUUUGUAUGUAUUUUUCUUGUCAUUGGAUAUAUAAAAACAUGCUUGGAAAAGUAAGAGAGGUUCUGGAUUCCAUUCCUGGCAUGAAGCAGCAAAAUAUAUCAUUAUGAUGUAAAUUCUGUGUUUGGACAGCAUGCUUCUUUGAAAGUCCCAAACUCCUGCCAUAAAGGUAAUUCUGAUUUAUAUUUAUCCACAUAAUUAGUUCUGGAAUAUUUUUUUUUUUUCAUUUCAUUCACAUACAUUUCAAAGAGGAAGAAAAUGUCAUAUUAAGAUUAUUCCACUGGAAAAGCAAAAAAAAAAUGUAAUAGCCAGCCACAAUUGACCACACAUCAUGAUAGCUCUAUAAAGAAAGAGAAAAAAA